UUAAGUGUUCCCUUUAUUUUUUUGAGCAGUAUACAUGCUCACCUCUGCCAAUUGGAAACUGUUGCCCGCUUGUCUGUCCCAUUUCCUUAAUAUGUUCUAUUGCGCAGUGGCAAUCAAGACCCAUAACCCCACACUACAACCCUCCAACCCUCCUCCUGUUGCUGCCCAAUAGCUGUCUGAUACAGUUUCCCCCCAGGAGACCAGCUACACCCCCAUCCUCACCCAGGUUGAACCCCCGAUAUCCCCCACCACCCAGGAGACCAGCUACACCCCCAUCCUCAACCAGGUUGAACCCCCGAUAUCCCCCACCACCCAGGAGACCAGCUACACCCCCAUCCUCAACCAGGUUGAACCUCCGAUAUCCCCCACCACCCAGGAGACCAGCUACACCCCCAUCCUCAACCAGGUUGAACCCCCGAUAUCCCCCACCACCCAGGAGACCAGCUACACCCCCAUCCUCAACCAGGUUGAACCCCCGAUAUCCCCCACCGCCCAGGAGACCAGCUACACCCCCAUCCUCAACCAGGUUGAACUCCGAUAUCCCCCACCACCCAGGAGACCAGCUACACCCCCAUCCUCAACCAGGUUGAACUCCGAUAUCCCCCACCACCCAGGAGACCAGCUACACCCCCAUCUUCAACCAGGUUGAACUCCGAUAUCCCCCACCACCCAGGAGACCAGCUACACCCCCAUCCUCAACCAGGUUGAACUCCGAUAUCCCCCACCACCCAGGAGACCAGCUGCACCCCCAUCCUCACCCAGGUUGAACCCCCGAUAUCCCCCACCGCCCAGGAGACCAGCUCUACUAUCCUUAAUCAGGUUAAACCCCCAAUAACCCCCACCGCCCAGGAGACCAGCUACACCCAAACCGAACCAAAGAAGACAGGGAGAAAGUCCUGUCACCCUCAAAAAACCCUCCAAGCAUGACACAGUCAACCCCAUCCAACCCUGACCAAGGAAGAGGAAAUAUGACUACAUGCAAAAGAGUGUCCAGUGCAUGUGGGACAAACGAUUUUCCCUAUUCUCAAAAUUCUUGCCAAUAGAACUUCAAAGGAGGAAAUGGCUUCCUGAAAUUCUCUCCAAGCAGCUGAUUGGUCAGCCCCAAUUGAUGAUUGGAGAACUGACCCCGCCCCCCCAGAUGAUUGCUGAGAGAGGAGGCUGAUGGCUAUAGCAUGUUGGUUGUUGCUAACAGAGUUCGUAUGUACUGUGUUAGAUGAUUGCUGCGAGAGAGAGAAGGCUGAUGGUUAUAUUGUAGGUUAGUUGUUGCUGAGAGUGAGACAGCAGUUUUGUUAUGCACUAUGUUAGUGUUGCUGGGAGCAGCCUUGGUAUGUUCUGUGUUAGUUUGUUGUUCAGUCAAAUAGAGCUUAUUUGAUAUCCUGUUUUUUUGUGUGUGUGAAAUUGUUUAUAAUAUUCUGUUUCAUUUGUUCCCCCAAAUUACCGCGUGACGGAAUAAAUUCCUU
RNAcentral lists this long non-coding RNA (1460 nucleotides) under Salmo salar (Atlantic salmon). RNAcentral describes it as "lncRNA (ENSSSAG00000102765.1, ENSSSAG00000110579.1)". Lineage: Eukaryota; Metazoa; Chordata; Actinopteri; Salmoniformes; Salmonidae. The record is from RNAcentral.